AUGACUCACAUAUAUGGUGUGAGGCUUUUUUCAGUUAGAUACAGGCGUGCGAAGCCACUUCUUCAGAGAGCCGAGGUCUCGUCUCAGGCCAGCGCCGGCGGCGGCGGAAAUACGGGAGUGGCGGCGGGCGUUGAGGCCCUCUCGAGGGCCGUCCUCACCGGCGUCGGCGACGCAGCGCGCGACGACGGAGGUUCAUCUCGUCUUCAUCGGCGUCAGGGCCGCUGCAGAGAUCUCGUCCUCGCCCCCCUCAACGCUGUGGCCGUGUUGACCAGCUCGCCGGCAGCCAGAUCUCCUGCAUAG
RNAcentral lists this ribosomal RNA (300 nucleotides) under Triticum aestivum (bread wheat). Its description in RNAcentral is "partial small subunit ribosomal RNA". Lineage: Eukaryota; Viridiplantae; Streptophyta; Magnoliopsida; Poales; Poaceae. The record is from RNAcentral.